UCCACCUUAGCUCAGUUGGUAGAGCGAAUGGCUGUUAACCAUUAGGUCGCUGGUUCGAGCCCGGCAGGUGGAGCCA
This 76-nucleotide transfer RNA is filed under the name Cellvibrionaceae bacterium. RNAcentral's name for it is "tRNA-Asn". It matches the Rfam family "tRNA". Rfam says of the family: Transfer RNA (tRNA) molecules are approximately 80 nucleotides in length. Their secondary structure includes four short double-helical elements and three loops (D, anti-codon, and T loops). Lineage: Bacteria; Pseudomonadati; Pseudomonadota; Gammaproteobacteria; Cellvibrionales; Cellvibrionaceae. The record is from RNAcentral.